RNA transcript from Canis lupus familiaris (dog), 398 nucleotides. It is a transcript of the gene named membrane-spanning 4-domains subfamily A member 15-like, with no coding region annotated. Lineage: Eukaryota; Metazoa; Chordata; Mammalia; Carnivora; Canidae. The transcript has 4 exons. The record is from RefSeq and is a predicted model, not a curated record.
GCCACGCGCCGCGGGGCGAGGGGGCCAGGGGAUGAGGGGCGCGGCUGAAGAAGCAGCGCCGCUGGGCCAGCGCUGCGGCCAGGACUCCAGGUGGACAGGUGCAGUGGACAGGUGCAGCACUAGGGCGCCACUGUGAAAAAUGCCAAGACGUCAUCUGCAGAUAAGAAAAGAAACAAGAUUGUUGGGGGCCAUACAAAUAAUGACUGGUCUGAAUAUUCACUUUGUGGGACUGCUCUGGACUUAUUUGUUACUCUCACAAAUUUCUGCAUUUGGAAAACCAUAUCUUCCUCUCUCAACAGUAACAAGAUACCCAUAUUGGUCAUCUACAUGUUUUAUCUUCUCAGGAAUCUUUGCAAUAAUGAUAGAGAAGAGGCGUUCACCACUCUUGGUAAGUCAGA